This 285-nucleotide long non-coding RNA is filed under the name Ananas comosus (pineapple). RNAcentral describes it as "long non-coding RNA (ACOM_LNC024373)". The record is from RNAcentral. Lineage: Eukaryota; Viridiplantae; Streptophyta; Magnoliopsida; Poales; Bromeliaceae.
UAAAUAAAAGCAACUGACAUGUUGAGACUGCAAUACUAAUAUAGAAGAACAGAGGAAAGUGAAACGAUCUCACCAACUACCAGCUCGAAGCACCCACCUAUACUAAUAUCGCGCCUGUCUCCAAACUGUACACGAUCGUCAACCGGACCUACGAAGGUCCACCGGGUCAAUAUCCAACCCACAAAUCCAAAAUACCCAACUCACGAACCCCACACAAAAUUCUCGAAAUCGGUUUCCUAAAAUCGAUCACCAUAACUCGCCGGAAGUCCCGAAAAAUUACACCGG